RNAcentral lists this ribosomal RNA (403 nucleotides) under bacterium. RNAcentral describes it as "partial 16S ribosomal RNA". It matches the Rfam family "Bacterial small subunit ribosomal RNA", at positions 355 to 776 of the family's 1533-position model. The record is from RNAcentral.
UGGGGAAUAUUGCACAAUGGGGGAAACCCUGAUGCAGCGACGCCGCGUGAACGAAGAAGGUAUUCGUAUCGUAUAGUUCUGUCCUAUGGGAAGAUAAUGACAGUACCAUAGAAGAAAGCUCCGGCUAAAUACGUGCCAGCAGCCGCGGUAAUACGUAUGGAGCGAGCGUUGUCCGGAAUUAUUGGGCGUAAAGGGUACGCAGGCGGUUUAAUAAGUCGAAUGUUAAAGAUCGGGGCUCAACCCCGCAAAGCAUUGGAAACUGAUAAACUUGAGUAGUGGAGAGGAAAGUGGAAUUCCUAGUGUAGUGGUGAAAUACGUAGAUAUUAGGAGGAAUACCAGUAGCGAAGGCGAGUUUCUGGACACAAACUGACGCUGAGGUACGAAAGCGUGGGGAGCAAACAGG